Molecule: ribosomal RNA, 497 nt
Filed under: uncultured bacterium
Lineage: Bacteria
Description: partial 16S ribosomal RNA
Rfam family: Bacterial small subunit ribosomal RNA
Source: RNAcentral
GAUGAACGCUGGCGGCGUGCCUAAUACAUGCAAGUCGAGCGAACAGACAAGGAGCUUGCUCCUCUGACGUUAGCGGCGGACGGGUGAGUAACACGUGGAUAACCUACCUAUAAGACUGGGAUAACUUCGGGAAGCCGGAGCUAAUACCGGAUAAUAUAUUGAACCGCAUGGUUCAAUAGUGAAAGACGGUUUUGCUGUCACUUAUAGAUGGAUCCGCGCCGCAUUAGCUAGUUGGUAAGGUAACGGCUUACCAAGGCGACGAUGCGUAGCCGACCUGAGAGGGUGAUCGGCCACACUGGAACUGAGACACGGUCCAGACUCCUACGGGAGGCAGCAGCAGGGAAUCUUCCGCAAUGGGCGAAAGCCUGACGGAGCAACGCCGCGUGAGUGAUGAAGGUCUUCGGAUCGUAAAACUCUGUUAUUAGGGAAGAACAAAUGUGUAAGUAACUAUGCACGUCUUGACGGUACCUAAUCAGAAAGCCACGGCUAACUACGUG